CACGUAGGGUGCGAGCGUUGUCCGGAAUUAUUGGGCGUAAAGAGCUCGUAGGCGGUGUGUCGCGUCGGCCGUGAAAACCUGCAGCUUAACUGUGGGCUUGCGGUCGAUACGGGCAUCACUGGAGUUCGGCAGGGGAGACUGGAAUUCCUGGUGUAGCGGUGAAAUGCGUAGAUAUCUGGAGGAACACCGGUGGCGAAGGCGGCAUCCUGGACCGGCAUUGACGCUGAUGAGCGAAAGCCAGGGGAGCAAACGGG
This 254-nucleotide ribosomal RNA is filed under the name uncultured bacterium. RNAcentral's name for it is "partial 16S ribosomal RNA". It matches the Rfam family "Bacterial small subunit ribosomal RNA", at positions 524 to 776 of the family's 1533-position model. The record is from RNAcentral.